CAUCUAAGUAUUAAAGGUGACGCCUGCCCAGUGACUUUUCAACGGCCGCGGUAUUCUAACCGUGCAAAGGUAGCGUAAUCACUUGUUCACUAAAUAUGGACCAGUAUGAACGGCUAAAUGAGGGCUAACCUGUCUCCUUUGUCCAAUCAGUGAAACUGAUCUUUCAGUCCAAAAGCUGAAAUACACACAUAAGACGAGAAGACCCUGUGGAGCUUUAAAUUUAUAUCAACAACACCAUAAGCCUGUAUGAUUAAAAAUUUUAAGUUGGGGCAACUUCGGAACAAAGCCAAACUUCCGAGAACAAGAUACAUCUAACCAAGGCCUACAAGCCAAAAAUUGACCCAGUACAACUGAUAAACGAACCAAGUUACCCCAGGGAUAACAGCGCCAUCUUCUUCAAGAGUUCAUAUCGACAAGAAGGCUUACGACCUCGAUGUUGGAUCAGGACACCCAAACGGUGCAGCCGCUGUUAAAGGUUCGUUUGUUCAACGAUUAAUAGUCCUACGUGAUCUGAGUUCAGACCGG
Molecule: ribosomal RNA, 525 nt
Filed under: Enyalius brasiliensis (Brazilian fathead anole)
Lineage: Eukaryota; Metazoa; Chordata; Lepidosauria; Squamata; Leiosauridae
Description: partial 16S ribosomal RNA
Rfam family: Bacterial large subunit ribosomal RNA
Source: RNAcentral